UUCCACUUUCCUUAGAACUGCACUGAAUAUGCAGAUGAGAAAGCAACUUAAAGCUGAGGAGGCCACUUCAGACAUCUUCUGAAACAUCACUAUCAUCAGGUCUACAGUGCAGUCAACAUGAAGACUCUCAGCCUGACGGCGGGACUGCUGCUCAUGGUGUUUGCAGUUUACCCCAGCGAUGCCUCUAAGGCAGUGAAUGCACCUGACCUUUGCUGUUUUCACUUCUUUGACAAACGGAUCCCAAAGGCGAACAUCGUGUCCAUCGUGAAAACUCACAGACAAUGUUCCACACCAGCAUUUGUGAUCGAGACACCCAGAACACUUUUCUGUGUGAAGCAGACUGUGAAGUGGGCAAUGGAACAAUUUGUUAAAGAAGAGAGAGCGAAAAUUGAACCAAUGCUACAAUUAACACUUCAAAAAUCACAAAAUGCUUUCACUCCAUGAAGUUACUUUGUAAACUGUUGCUGGAAUUUUAACCCCUUUAGUCUUUACCUGCUUAAUUACAGCUGCAGAAUAUAGAGAACAUUUAUUUUAUGCUGAUUUCAAAUUUUUUUUUUUACAUUAUCACAAUAUCAACUUCAUAAUUUGGGAAUUAUGUUAAUCCAGUAUGUAAAACUCAGUUGAUAAAGUGUCUUCCCUCAUUAAUAUCCCAUAAUCAUCUGAAGGUGCUCUUACUGUAAGAUAGGAGCAUUGAAGAACCACAUGAAGUGCCAGACGACAUAAAGUUAGAUGGCAGGGUUAGUGAGUGCAAAGACAGAGUGCUGAAAAAGUCUCCAAUGUUUUGGUGACUAAGAAACUCCAGAGUUCCUCUUCUGGAAUUAAAAUUGGGAUGUGGGUUUUCAUGGCCUGUAGGUGUAAUGUGUAGGUGACCCCAUACGUUUGUCCAUAUAGUAUUCCACACCGCCUACCCUCCAUUAAGCCAUGUUGACCCAGGUUGAUGUGACUGUGUCUCAAAGAGCCUCAUUUGAUGAGCAAAGUUUAUGUUCAGCACUCUUAGGCUUUCUUUAAGCAGCUCUCCAAAGCUUUGAGGUGUGUUUGGCUUCAAUAUCCUGCUGCAGUGUGAAUUCUUCUCCACAAAGAUCUACAUCACUGUUGGAGCACAUCUCUGAAGAAUGGAUCACUGCUUGCCCUCAGUCAGGGUGCAGUUGACUCACAUCAGGUGUUCAGCUCUGGGUCUGGAAACACCACCAGACUUAAACUCUCACCGUCUGAUCCACUGUGGUAUCUCUCCCUCACCUUACAAAGGCCCUUGUUUUCCUGCCUCUAAUCUCUGAGAGCGAUUGUUAAAAACAAUUUCAAAUAUUUUUGAUUCCCCAGACUCUGAGAUUAUUUUCAGGUUCAGAUGAAAGUUUUGCGCACGUUAAAUGUGUUCUCAGGCUUUUGGAUCUAGCUACGUAUAACAUGUAUCAAAUCAUGUGAUCAUUUGUCUUCACUGUGUUAUUGUUAUGCUGCUACAGUGUAUCUAAAAAGAUUUUGUCUUUCUUUAUUAUUUUGCUUUAUUCUUCAUUAAA
Non-coding RNA from Maylandia zebra (zebra mbuna), 1511 nucleotides. The record is from RefSeq and is a predicted model, not a curated record. NCBI's taxonomy places the organism in Eukaryota, Metazoa, Chordata, Actinopteri, Cichliformes, Cichlidae.